Molecule: ribosomal RNA, 467 nt
Filed under: uncultured bacterium
Lineage: Bacteria
Description: partial 16S ribosomal RNA
Rfam family: Bacterial small subunit ribosomal RNA
Source: RNAcentral
GACGAACGCUGGCGGCGUGCUUAACACAUGCAAGUCGAACGGAAAGGCCCUGCUUUUGUGGGGUGCUCGAGUGGCGAACGGGUGAGUAACACGUGAGUAACCUGCCCUUGACUUUGGGAUAACUUCAGGAAACUGGGGCUAAUACCGGAUAGGAGCUCCUGCUGCAUGGUGGGGGUUGGAAAGUUUCGGCGGUUGGGGAUGGACUCGCGGCUUAUCAGCUUGUUGGUGGGGUAGUGGCUUACCAAGGCUUUGACGGGUAGCCGGCCUGAGAGGGUGACCGGCAACAUUGGGACUGAGAUACGGCCCAGACUCCUACGGGAGGCAGCAGUGGGGAAUAUUGCACAAUGGGCGGAGGCCUGAUGCAGCAACGCCGCGUGCGGGAUGACGGCCUUCGGGUGGUAAACCGCUUUCGCCUGUGACGAAGCGUGAGUGACGGUAAUGGGUAAAGAAGCACCGGCUAACUACGU